Molecule: ribosomal RNA, 569 nt
Filed under: Sporothrix schenckii
Lineage: Eukaryota; Fungi; Ascomycota; Sordariomycetes; Ophiostomatales; Ophiostomataceae
Description: eukaryotic LSU rRNA
Rfam family: 5.8S ribosomal RNA (bases 174-327)
Source: RNAcentral
AAGUCCGUAACAAGGUCUCCGUUGUUGAACCNGCGGAGGGGUCAUUACAGAGUUACAAAACUCCAACCCUUGUGAACCGUACCCAAAUCGUUCUCGUUGCUUCCGGCGGGGGGGACGGGNCUUUAUAUCUCAACCACUAGAAAACAGUCUGAGGAUUAAAAACAAAUAAUCAAAACUUUCAACAACGGAUCUCUUGGCUCUGGCAUCGAUGAAGAACGCAGCGAAAUGCGAUACGUAAUGUGAAUUGCAGAAUUCAGCGAACCAUCGAAUCUUUGAACGCACAUUGCGCCCGCCAGUAUUCUGGCGGGCAUGCCUGUCCGAGCGUCAUUUCCCCCCUCACGCGCCCCGUUGCGCGCUGGUGUUGGGGCUCCUCCGCCUGGCGGAGGGCCCCGAAAGCGAGUGGCGGGCCCGGCUGGUUGGCUCCGAGCGCAGUACUGGACGCAAGUUCUCUCCCCUCGCUCAGACGCCCCGCCGGCGCCCUGCCGUCAAAACGCGCAUGACGUGCAACUUUUUACAAGGUUGACCUCGGAUCAGGUAGGACUACCCGCUGAACUUAAGCAUAUCAAUAA